UACGUAGGGGGCAAGCGUUGUCCGGAUUUAUUGGGCGUAAAGAGCGUGUAGGCGGCCAGGUAGGUCAGCUGUGAAAACUCGAGGCUCAACCUCGAGAUGUCGGCUGAAACCAUCUGGCUAGAGUCCGGAAGAGGAGAAUGGAAUUCCCGGUGUAGCGGUGAAAUGCGCAGAUAUCGGGAAGAACACCCGUGGCGAAGGCGGUUCUCUGGGACGGUACUGACGCUGAGACGCGAAAGCGUGGGGAGCAAACAGG
RNAcentral lists this ribosomal RNA (253 nucleotides) under uncultured bacterium. RNAcentral describes it as "partial 16S ribosomal RNA". It matches the Rfam family "Bacterial small subunit ribosomal RNA", at positions 524 to 776 of the family's 1533-position model. The record is from RNAcentral.